ACUUUUGGCCUGUGGAUCAUGAUCUAGCUCUUGGAGCUACAGCUCUAACACCUGCCUAUCUGCCGCCAUGUCCUCCACCAUUUAAAAUGGACUCAACCUCUGAAACUGUAGGAGACAGAGGAAGGCCUCCACAGAGGCAUCACCAGGUUUCCUGGGAAACAGUAGGUCACACAUUUCCUGGAGCUACUUCUGGAAGACCUGACCCAGAUGGGUGGAGCUCACGUUACUGGUCUGCGUGGUUAGUUUUGGGAUUUAGUUUUCUGAGACAGUAUCUCAAUAUAUAGUUCAGGUUGACCUCAAAUUUAUAAUCUCCCUGCCUUAGCCUCCCAAAUUCUGAGGUUACAAACACAUCACCAGACCAAUUCAUAUGUGUUCUUAACACACUCAAAACAAAGCUCCAAGCUGGGAGCUGAAGCAAUGGCUCAGUGGUUAAGUAAGAGUCCUUCCUGCUCUUCCAGAGGACUCAGGACCGUGUGUAACUCUAGUCACAGGGAAUCUGACUCCUUUUCUGGCCUUCUUCAGCACCAGGCACAAGUAUAUAGAUGUUCAUGUGUAUAAAACACCCAUAUGCACUAAACAGAUUUUAAAAACCAACACACACAAAUCCUCAAGGUUGUGCAUGAACACCAAUAAUCUCAGCAAUCAGGAGGCAUUGGUUCUGGGUUAGCCUGAGCUACAUCAUGAGAUCCUCUCUCAACAUAAACAAAUGUUUGGGUUGGUUUUUCCUCACGUAAUUUACUUCAUUUAUUGCACCUUCAUUCACUGCAGUCCCCUAUCACUCCUUUCAAUGCAGGUUACCAUGUUAGGUAUUUUGAGAAAGGGUAGAGCUGACUUCCUUUCUCAAUAGGAACAUGGGAGGUGGGUCAGCAGGUUAUUAGGUCAGAGUCGAUCACAAGCAGGUACCUUCUGCCUUCUGAGAGAGGUGGCCUGACAGUGCCAGUUUGUGUCAUGGUCAGCAGUAUAAUCCAGGUGUCAACCACUGAGGAAGAUGGAAACUUGGGUUGUUACAGACUCAACUCUACUCAAGACUCAGCCCACUAACUCUUUGAGUCUGCUCAUUUGAAAGGGAAUUUAAAAUGAUACCUGCUCACGGCACUCUGUCUGGCAUUUGUCUGGGCAUUUGGCUGGGUUCUCGCCUAUGUUGGUAGUACCCAGUGGUGUCAGCAGUACAUGGAACAGUUCUCAGCUCUGUAGGGAGGAGGGGGCGAUGUUUGGGAGGGUAUUUAGUUAAGGGGGAAAUGACAGCCUUUCACUGGGACUCCCAGUCUGUACUGAUUCUAACACCUCAGGGUCUUGGGAUGGUUAGAAGAUCUUUAGGUGCAGCUCCUGACCCCAUAGUGCUCACAAAUGUCUUGUACACAUUUAAAUGCUCAUUCCUUUGUUCUG
RNAcentral lists this long non-coding RNA (1386 nucleotides) under Mus pahari (shrew mouse). RNAcentral's name for it is "lncRNA (MGP_PahariEiJ_G0006134.1)". Lineage: Eukaryota; Metazoa; Chordata; Mammalia; Rodentia; Muridae. The record is from RNAcentral.